GCCGGGGGAUGCCGGAUCCCCCGUCCCGGGGAUGCGGAAGGGCUGGACCGGCAGCACAGCGUCGGGAGGAGGAUGGGAGGAGAGGAGCAGCCCUGGGAAACAGCGGGUGCGGAGCAGCGUCGGGGCUGGAACGAGGAAGCGGUGAAGGAAAAGCCAAGGGAGCAGCUGGGGGAUUGCAACAGAGCCCAGGAGCUGCGGGCACGGGCGGGAGGUCACACACAGCCCUGUCCCCCCCCGGGCCGGCUCCCGAUCCCCCGGAGAGAGGAGGCACAAGCACGGGGGAGAUGCGACGCAGGGGCCAUGGGGACAAACCUUAUCCCCCUGCUGGGGACCUUCCCCCCCAGAAUCCAUCCCGGGGGUCCCCUCCUCACGCUCGGUCCCCCCCACACUGAGGGAUCUGGCAUGGGAUGGGGCAGAGGGCCGCCAGCCGGGCUCUCCAGAGCCGCUCCGUUACCAAAUAAGGCCUCCGUCGUGCCUUUUACAUGCCGUUCUCACCCAGCCGGAGUGACGUGACCUCCUUUCCAAAUUGCUCUGUCCCCGCCAGGCUCCUCCGCAGGGACCCCCCUGGCCGGGGGUGCCUCUAGGGGGGCAGCGAGCAGGAUGGGGAGGAUGCCCCGGGGUGCCAGGUGCAGGCAGCGGGACCCCAGCCAGCCUGAGGAGAAGGAGUGGGGAUGAAGCAGGGGCUUGUUCCCCAUUGCUGCACCCCAAUCUACCUCACUAGGAUGGGUGCUGCUUCUCCCUCUUUUUUGGGGGGCACGAGGCUGGAAGGCAAACCCCAGGGAGGAGAGAGGCUUGCAGGGCGCUGGGCACCCCCCCUUCCCUUACGCUUGAGCAAAUACUCAAAAGCACCGGCUCUUCCAGGCAGGGCUGGAAAAACUCGUGCAAGGAAAAUACCUGCCCAGUGUGCAAGCACGGGCAGCCCUCGCCCUGCUGACGCCGGGACAUGGAGGGGUUCCCCAGCACCUUGGGGCUGUCUCCCCUGGGUCUCAUUGUGCCCACCAGCCCCUGCACAAGGGUAGGGGUUCCCCAAGGGCCAGCAGUGCGAGGGCCAGCCUCUCGCCCCCCUGGAUCCUGCCCUUUGCCAGCACAACACGCACUGCACCGCUUGGGAAGUCCUCCAGGACAUGUCCCACCGCCGUGUCACCUGCAAGGACCCAGCAGCAUCGCCUGGCCCUCACCCAGCAAGGCCACCAGCACUUCACCCCCCAAAAUUCCCUUUUAUCGAAGUGCUUUGGGGAAACUUUGACAAGUUUCAAGGCGGGACCCGUUGGCUGGAGAUGGCUCUGAAAUAAAAACAUGAAGGCGAGCGGAUCCCCGGUGCCUGCAUCCCGGCGUUAUCCAUCAACCCGAGACCCCGCGGGGCCGGGCGGGCGCGGAGCGGAGCGGAGCGGCGGGUGAAAGGUAAGGAGCAGAUCGCUAUCGCCCGCUUGCACCCUCCCAAAGUCCACAUUCCCCGUUCAAGGUCAUGGGCAAAACCAGGAACUUGGGCAGCAGCCACGGAGAACAAAAAAACAACACUCCGGUCCCCGCGGCGUGGGCGUGGGGUUUGUCACCCGUGGGGACAGGGUGUUUCACACAUCUGCGGGGUGAGACCCGCUGCGGUGGGAGGGACACAAGGGCCACCGCUCGCAGGGUACCCGCUGGCACCAUCACCCCACAUGCCACCCCGGCACCGUCCCCAGGUUUCGGCUUGAUCUCUGUCCUGCUGAUUGCCCACGAAGGGCUCAGUGGUCCCGCAGGGCUCUGGAACAUCGUGAUGGAGAAUUUGGGAUGAAAAGCAUUUGACCAGUGGCCGUGUCCGCAGCAGAUGCUGCCCUCACAGGGACCGGAGGUGACACCGAGGACAUCCCGCUGGCCGGACAGGGCUUGUACGGAACAAGUCAUCAAGGUCACAGCUCGGCUUUCCACAACUCAGUGGCCAAGCCAGACCUGUGGGCAGCUGCCCGCACCUCCUGCCCCGCAGCACAGAGCGUUUCCAGCCUCUGCAGCCGCGAUUUACAGAGCAGAACCUCUCGUGCUGGGCAGGAGAUGGAAACCAGCCGUUCCAGACAGGAUUUGGGGAGCAGGACGCAUCCAGCUACAAGAACAAGGUGGCCUCAAGUGGGGGGACCUGUCUAGUUACCCAAAUCUGCUGGCGCCUCUUGCUUUUGGGGAAUUUCUGCUACAACAUCCGUUUCCUCCCACGCGGAGGGAGAACAUCAGGCGGUGUUGUAGUCGUACGAGGACGGGAAGGGAAGUUGUGAAAAAACAUCCCCAGGAAUCUCGGGGGCUGGUGGGAAACAGAGCUGCUGGGAAGCACGGACACGUCCCAAAGGAUCGCAGCCCCACCGGGCCAGAGAAACGGGCUGUUUGUAUUCCCGAAACAAAGCACGUACAGCACAGCUACUGCCUGAGAGACGACAGAUCCAAAGCUGGUUGGAGAUGCUCAGAGGAAUUUAAAUAAAGGACACGAAU
Long non-coding RNA from Columba livia (rock pigeon), 2454 nucleotides. RefSeq lists it as uncharacterized. The transcript has 3 exons. The record is from RefSeq and is a predicted model, not a curated record. NCBI's taxonomy places the organism in Eukaryota, Metazoa, Chordata, Aves, Columbiformes, Columbidae.